AUUGAACGCUGGCGGCAUGCCUUACACAUGCAAGUCGAACGGCAGCACGGGAGCAAUCCUGGUGGCGAGUGGCGAACGGGUGAGUAAUAUAUCGGAACGUGCCCAGUCGUGGGGGAUAACGUAGCGAAAGCUACGCUAAUACCGCAUACGAUCUAUGGAUGAAAGCGGGGAUCGCAAGACCUCGCGCGAUUGGAGCGGCCGAUAUCAGAUUAGGUAGUUGGUGAGGUAAAGGCUCACCAAGCCGACGAUCUGUAGCUGGUCUGAGAGGACGACCAGCCACACUGGGACUGAGACACGGCCCAGACUCCUACGGGAGGCAGCAGUGGGAAUUUUGGACAAUGGGCGCAAGCCUGAUCCAGCAAUGCCGCGUGCAGGAUGAAGGCCUUCGGGUUGUAAACUGCUUUGUACGGAACGAAACGGUGAGCUCUAAUACAGUUUGCUAAUGACGGUACCGUAAGAAUAAGCACCGGCUAACUACGUG
Molecule: ribosomal RNA, 481 nt
Filed under: uncultured bacterium
Lineage: Bacteria
Description: bacterial SSU rRNA
Rfam family: Bacterial small subunit ribosomal RNA
Source: RNAcentral